RNAcentral lists this ribosomal RNA (460 nucleotides) under uncultured bacterium. RNAcentral's name for it is "partial 16S ribosomal RNA". It matches the Rfam family "Bacterial small subunit ribosomal RNA", at positions 338 to 795 of the family's 1533-position model. The record is from RNAcentral.
CCUACGGGAGGCAGCAGUGAGGAAUAUUGGUCAAUGGACGAGAGUCUGAACCAGCCAAGUAGCGUGAAGGAUGACUGCCCUAUGGGUUGUAAACUUCUUUUAUAUGGGAAUAAAACGUUCCACGUGUGGGAUUUUGUAUGUACCAUAUGAAUAAGGAUCGGCUAACUCCGUGCCAGCAGCCGCGGUAAUACGGAGGAUCCGAGCGUUAUCCGGAUUUAUUGGGUUUAAAGGGAGCGUAGGUGGAUUGUUAAGUCAGUUGUGAAAGUUUGCGGCUCAACCGUAAAAUUGCAGUUGAAACUGGCAGUCUUGAGUACAGUAGAGGUGGGCGGAAUUCGUGGUGUAGCGGUGAAAUGCUUAGAUAUCACGAAGAACUCCGAUUGCGAAGGCAGUUCACUGGACUGCAACUGACACUGAGGCUCGAAAGUGUGGGUAUCAAACAGGAGUAGAUACCCCGGUAGUC